RNAcentral lists this ribosomal RNA (468 nucleotides) under uncultured bacterium. RNAcentral describes it as "partial 16S ribosomal RNA". It matches the Rfam family "Bacterial small subunit ribosomal RNA", at positions 28 to 507 of the family's 1533-position model. The record is from RNAcentral.
GACGAACGCUGGCGGCGUGCUUAACACAUGCAAGUCGAACGGAGAGGCCCUGCUUUUGUGGGGUGCUCGAGUGGCGAACGGGUGAGUAACACGUGAGUAACCUGCCCUUGACUUUGGGAUAACUUCAGGAAACUGAGGCUAAUACCGGAUAGGAGCUCCUGCUGCAUGGUGGGGGUUGGAAAGUUUCGGCGGUUGGGGAUGGACUCGCGGCUUAUCAGCUUGUUGGUGGGGUAGUGGCUUACCAAGGCUUUGACGGGUAGCCGGCCUGAGAGGGUGACCGGCCACAUUGGGACUGAGAUACGGCCCAGACUCCUACGGGAGGCAGCAGUGGGGAAUAUUGCACAAUGGGCGGAAGCCUGAUGCAGCAACGCCGCGUGCGGGAUGACGGCCUUCGGGUUGUAAACCGCUUUCGCCUGUGACGAAGCGUGAGUGACGGUAAUGGGUAAAGAAGCACCGGCUAACUACGUG